CCGGCUCCUCUGCUGGAUUGCAGCGCCGGCUGGGCACCAGGAGUACAAAGCGAAAACCCCCGCCGGCCCUUCUGUUCUCCACGGUCUCCAAGGAGACACGGACAACAGAACAACACUUCCGUGUGCUAAAUAGUAAAGCACCAAGCAGGGUCAGAUGUGUUACUGGGCUGGAGUGUGGUGGCACAAUCACGCUCACUGCAUCCUUGACCUCCUGGGCUCAAGUGAUCUUCCCACCUCAGCCUCCCAAGUAGCUGGGACUACAGGUACGCCUCA
Molecule: long non-coding RNA, 273 nt
Filed under: Homo sapiens (human)
Lineage: Eukaryota; Metazoa; Chordata; Mammalia; Primates; Hominidae
Description: non-protein coding lnc-OLAH-1:1
Source: RNAcentral